RNAcentral lists this ribosomal RNA (303 nucleotides) under Triticum aestivum (bread wheat). RNAcentral's name for it is "partial small subunit ribosomal RNA". Lineage: Eukaryota; Viridiplantae; Streptophyta; Magnoliopsida; Poales; Poaceae. The record is from RNAcentral.
GUCGUCAAGACCAAACACGUCGAAACUCUAGUAGACGACUUGAGGGUGACAUUAGACAACCUCCGAGCAUAUGACAUUAAGCUCAACCCGGAAAAAUGUGUUUUCGGCAUACCAGCCGGAAAGCUCUUGGGCUUCAUUGUAUCCGGUAGAGGAAUUGAAGCAAACCCAGCCAAGAUCCAAGCUCUGUCACAAUUGGAUAUCCCAAAAGACCUCAAGCAAAUACAAAAACUAACUGGAUGUGUGGCGGCUCUAAGACGCUUCAUAUCCCGUUUGGGAGAAAAGGCACUGCCCCUCUAUCGCCUC